Molecule: ribosomal RNA, 453 nt
Filed under: uncultured bacterium
Lineage: Bacteria
Description: bacterial SSU rRNA
Rfam family: Bacterial small subunit ribosomal RNA
Source: RNAcentral
CGGGCGUAGCAAUACGUCAGAGGCGUACGGGUGAGUAACACGUAGGUAACCACCUUAAGACUGGGAUACCCAGACGAAAGUUUGGCUAAUACCGGAUAACAACAUUUGAGACAUCUCUUUGUUGAAAGGCGCUGCAAGGCGCCACUUUUAGAUGGACCUGCGUCGCAUUAGCUAGUUGGUGAGAUAAAAGCCCACCAAGGCUGGGAUGCGUAGCCGAUCUGAGAGGAUGACCGGCCACAAUGGGACUGAGACACGGCCCAUACUCCUACGGGAGGCAGCAGUAGGGAGUUUUCGGCAAUGGGGGAAACCCUGACCGAGCAACACCGCGUGAGUGAUUGAAGGUCUUCGGAUCGUAAAGCUCUGUUACGAGGGACGAAUGAUCGCUUUAGGAAAUGAGAGCGGUUUGACGGUACCUCGCCAGAAAGUGACGGCUAACUACGUGCCAGCCGCUGC